GGACUACUCGGGUAUCUAAUCCUGUUUGCUCCCCACGCUGUCGCGCCUGAGCGUCGGUAACGGGCCAGUGAGCCGCCUUCGCCACUGGUGUUCUUCCGAAUAUCUACGAAUUUCACCUCUACACUCGGAAUUCCACUCACCUCUCCCGUACCCAAGUCCUCUAGUUUCGAAGGCAGUUCCAGAGUUGAGCUCUGGGCUUUCACCCCCGACUUAAAGGACCGCCUGCGCGCGCUUUACGCCCAGUAAUUCCGAACAACGCUAGCCCCCUUCGUAUUACCGCGGCUGCUGGCAC
This 292-nucleotide ribosomal RNA is filed under the name uncultured Alphaproteobacteria bacterium. RNAcentral's name for it is "partial 16S ribosomal RNA". The record is from RNAcentral. Lineage: Bacteria; Pseudomonadati; Pseudomonadota; Alphaproteobacteria.